AACGAACGCUGGCGGCAUGCCUAACACAUGCAAGUCGAACGAAAACUUCGGGCCUUGUUGCGCACGGGUGGGUAACGCGGGGGAACUUGCCCUUAAGUUCGGAAUAACUCACCGAAAGGGGUGCUCAUACAGGUUAAUGUCUUAGGAGAAAAGAUGUGUCGCCUUUGGAUGGGCGUGGGUUGGAUUAGCUGGUUGGUAGGGUAAACGCCUACCAAGGCGACGAUAGAUAGCUGGUCUGUGAGGACGAUCAGCAACGCUGGGACUGAGACACGGCCCAGAUUCCUGCGGGAGGAAGCAGUGAGGAAGAUUGGAGAAUGGACGACAGCCUGAUCCAGCAAUGCCGCGUGAGUGAUGAAGGCCUUAGGGAUGUAAAGCUCGUUUACCCGGGAUGAUAAUGACAGUACCGGGAGAAUAAGGCACGGCUAACUCCGUU
Molecule: ribosomal RNA, 433 nt
Filed under: uncultured bacterium
Lineage: Bacteria
Description: partial 16S ribosomal RNA
Rfam family: Bacterial small subunit ribosomal RNA
Source: RNAcentral